AUGAGCUGCUGAAAGGGCUGAUGAACAGAGAGGGAAGGAUAUGAGGAAGGAUAUCUGAAGAAUCAGGCUGGAAGGAAAGAAUUGUCUGCUAAUUGGAAUGGACAUUUGAAAAUCCUGAGAAACUGAGGCAUGAAAAGAGUUGCCAACAGUGAAGUGCUUUUCCUCCCUUGCUGCUCAUUUUUUUUCCCCUAAUGUUGCUGUUGGAGAGGCUUCUCAUUUGUACUGUGAAAGCACUAACAGACUACUUAUUCAUGGGCAGAAGAUGAAUUUCCUGUUUGCUUGUGCAAGAAAGCAGCAAGCAGGCAGGCCUGGAAAGAAUCCAAGUCAUAUGGAGCUUGACUCCGGAGAAAGUGUUAACAACAGGCAAGUGUCUCAAUACCAUUUAGAUGGAUCCUCCAGUCUUCAUGGCAGCAGUCUGAAUGAAUGGAUCACAUCUACCUCACUUGGGGUCCCUGUGUCCAGAUCUUGCUAGGACUUCAGGAAUUUUUACAUUGGAGGUUAAAUUAGUUUAGGUCUAUGGGGAAGGUUAUCGCAUGUACAUGGCAUCAACUGGAACAACCCCCUGCAGGCCUGUGGGACAUUGCUGGACUGUGCUCUGUACUCCUGCUAUUCUUGGUGAUCAGCCUGCUGGGAGGUAUGAACGCACUGAACAAAGCAAACCAAUGAGCCCAGCUCACAGGGUGAAUUUUAACCUUAAUUUAGCUUGAACUUCCAGAGCUUUCUCACUGAUAUUGUAAAAAGCUGACUUCCAUCCUUAAUUUUAUAAGGGUAAGUAGGUCUAGCUAAUUUGACCCCCAGAUGUUCAGUUCUCAAAGGGGGCCAUCAUUUUGUAUUAAAUAAAACUGGGAAAGAAAGAGCCCGAGGAAGAUCU
This 871-nucleotide long non-coding RNA is filed under the name Anas platyrhynchos platyrhynchos (common mallard). RNAcentral describes it as "lncRNA (ENSAPLG00000020097.1)". The record is from RNAcentral. Lineage: Eukaryota; Metazoa; Chordata; Aves; Anseriformes; Anatidae.